This 406-nucleotide ribosomal RNA is filed under the name uncultured bacterium. Its description in RNAcentral is "partial 16S ribosomal RNA". It matches the Rfam family "Bacterial small subunit ribosomal RNA", at positions 360 to 773 of the family's 1533-position model. The record is from RNAcentral.
AAUAUUGCGCAAUGGAGGGAACUCUGACGCAGCGACGCCGCGGGAGCGAUGAAGGUUUUCGGAUCGUAAAGCUCUGUCCUUGGGGAAGAAGGUCUUCGGACUUGACGGUACCUAAGGAGGAAGCCCCGGCUAACUACGUGUCAGCAGCCGCGGUAAUACGUAGGGGGCAAGCGUUGUCCGGAAUUAUUGGGCGUAAAGGGUGCGUAGGCGGCCUUUUAAGUCAGGUGUGAAAGCCCACGGCUUAACCGUGGGAUUGCAUUUGAAACUGUGAGGCUUGAGUAUCGGAGAGGGUAGUGGAAUUCCAAGUGUAGCGGUGAUAUGCGUAGAUAUUUGGAGGAACACCAGUGGCGAAGGCGACUGCCUGGACGAAAACUGACGCUGAGGCACGAAAGCUAGGGGAGCAAAC